Molecule: ribosomal RNA, 1032 nt
Filed under: Salmonella enterica subsp. enterica serovar Kentucky
Lineage: Bacteria; Pseudomonadati; Pseudomonadota; Gammaproteobacteria; Enterobacterales; Enterobacteriaceae
Description: partial 23S ribosomal RNA
Rfam family: Bacterial large subunit ribosomal RNA
Source: RNAcentral
AGCAGCAUCGCGGUGGCGGAGCGUCGUUUGCGACGCCCAACACACAAAACAAGCGGUGAGUGCUUUGGGGUGGGGUGACUGCGUACCUUUUGUAUAAUGGGUCAGCGACUUAUAUUCUGUAGCAAGGUUAACCGUAUAGGGGAGCCGAAGGGAAACCGAGUCUUAACUGGGCGUUAAGUUGCAGGGUAUAGACCCGAAACCCGGUGAUCUAGCCAUGGGCAGGUUGAAGGUUGGGUAACACUAACUGGAGGACCGAACCGACUAAUGUUGAAAAAUUAGCGGAUGACUUGUGGCUGGGGGUGAAAGGCCAAUCAAACCGGGAGAUAGCUGGUUCUCCCCGAAAGCUAUUUAGGUAGCGCCUCGUGAACUCAUCUUCGGGGGUAGAGCACUGUUUCGGCUAGGGGGUCAUCCCGACUUACCAACCCGAUGCAAACUGCGAAUACCGAAGAAUGUUAUCACGGGAGACACACGGCGGGUGCUAACGUCCGUCGUGAAGAGGGAAACAACCCAGACCGCCAGCUAAGGUCCCAAAGUCACAGUUAAGUGGGAAACGAUGUGGGAAGGCUCAGACAGCCAGGAUGUUGGCUUAGAAGCAGCCAUCAUUUAAAGAAAGCGUAAUAGCUCACUGGUCGAGUCGGCCUGCGCGGAAGAUGUAACGGGGCUAAACUGUGCACCGAAGCUGCGGCAGCGACGCUUAUGCGUUGUUGGGUAGGGGAGCGUUCUGUAAGCCUGCGAAGGUGUCCUGUGAGGGAUGCUGGAGGUAUCAGAAGUGCGAAUGCUGACAUAAGUAACGAUAAUGCGGGUGAAAAGCCCGCUCGCCGGAAGACCAAGGGUUCCUGUCCAACGUUAAUCGGGGCAGGGUGAGUCGACCCCUAAGGCGAGGCCGAAAGGCGUAGUCGAUGGGAAACGGGUUAAUAUUCCCGUACUUGGUGUUACUGCGAAGGGGGGACGGAGAAGGCUAUGUUGGCCGGGCGACGGUUGUCCCGGUUUAAGCGUGUAGGCUGGUUUUCCAGGCAAAUCCGGAAAAUCAAG